CCUACGGGUGGCAGCAGUGGGGAAUAUUGCACAAUGGGGGAAACCCUGAUGCAGCGACGCCGCGUGAGUGAAGAAGUAUUUCGGUAUGUAAAGCUCUAUCAGCCGGGAAGAAAAAAGACGGUACCUGACUAAGAAGCCCCGGCUAACUACGUACCAGCAGCCGCGGUAAUACGUAGGGGGCAAGAGUUAGCCGGAUUUACUGGGUGUAAAGGGAGCGUAGGCGGCGCGGCAAGUCUGAAGUGAAAGGCAGGGGCUUAACCCCUGAACUGCUUUUGAAACUGGCAUGCUAGAGUGCUGGGGAGGUAAGUGGAAUUCGUAGUGUAGCGGUGAAAUGCGUAGAUAUGAGGAGGAACACCAGUUGCGAAGGCGGCUUACUGGACAGUAACUGACGUUGAGGCUCGAAAGCGUGGGGAGCAAACAGGAUUAGAUACCCCAGUAGUC
RNAcentral lists this ribosomal RNA (441 nucleotides) under uncultured bacterium. RNAcentral describes it as "partial 16S ribosomal RNA". It matches the Rfam family "Bacterial small subunit ribosomal RNA", at positions 338 to 795 of the family's 1533-position model. The record is from RNAcentral.